This 306-nucleotide ribosomal RNA is filed under the name Enterobacter cloacae. RNAcentral's name for it is "partial 23S ribosomal RNA". It matches the Rfam family "Bacterial large subunit ribosomal RNA", at positions 146 to 490 of the family's 2925-position model. Lineage: Bacteria; Pseudomonadati; Pseudomonadota; Gammaproteobacteria; Enterobacterales; Enterobacteriaceae. The record is from RNAcentral.
CACUAUCGUUAACUGAAUACAUAGGUUAACGAGGCGAACCGGGGGAACUGAAACAUCUAAGUACCCCGAGGAAAAGAAAUCAACCGAGAUUCCCCCAGUAGCGGCGAGCGAACGGGGAGCAGCCCAGAGUCUGAAUCAGCUUGUGUGUUAGUGGAAGCGUCUGGAAAGUCGCACGGUACAGGGUGACAGUCCCGUACACGAAAAUGCACAGGUUGUGAACUCGAAGAGUAGGGCGGGACACGUGGUAUCCUGUCUGAAUAUGGGGGGACCAUCCUCCAAGGCUAAAUACUCCUGACUGACCGAUAG